UACAGAGGGGGCGAGCGUUGUUCGGAAUUACUGGGCGUAAAGCGUGCGCAGGCGGUUUUGUAAGACAGAGGUGAAAUCCCCGGGCUCAACCUGGGAACUGCCUUUGUGACUGCAAGGCUUGAGUGCGGCAGAGGGGGAUGGAAUUCCGCGUGUAGCAGUGAAAUGCGUAGAUAUGCGGAGGAACACCGAUGGCGAAGGCAAUCCCCUGGGCCUGCACUGACGCUCAUGCACGAAAGCGUGGGGAGCAAACAGG
This 253-nucleotide ribosomal RNA is filed under the name uncultured bacterium. RNAcentral describes it as "partial 16S ribosomal RNA". It matches the Rfam family "Bacterial small subunit ribosomal RNA", at positions 524 to 776 of the family's 1533-position model. The record is from RNAcentral.